GCGGCCCGUGGAGAGCUUCGUGUCGUAGUACGGAUCGGCGGCGCCGCCGUUCUUCUUGGCGGCAAGUGCAGCUUUCGCCUGCAGCGCCCACAUAUAGGUAAGCGCAGUGACGCCGAAGAGAUUGAGGAAAUCGUGCGACGCAGCGCCGGCAUUGUCGAAAUUGGUCAUGCCGUUCUGCAUCAGCCACAUCGUGCCGUCUUGCAGCUGCGCCUUUGUCGUUUUCAGCGCG
RNAcentral lists this unclassified non-coding RNA (229 nucleotides) under fungal sp. RNAcentral describes it as "partial internal transcribed spacer region". The record is from RNAcentral. Lineage: Eukaryota; Fungi.